UUUUGGCAAUAUAGUGUUGUACUCUAAGCUAUAUUGAUAUUUUGUGCUUAUUAUUGUUGUACAAGGCUUGCUUUGUGUUGUUGUACAUCAUGGUGUCUAUUGGUUUCCUCACCACCACCGCUUCAUUCGACCUGUAAAACCCUAAAAAAGAGACUCACAUCCAGUUGAUCAAUAUCGGCGUUCCUUCCGAUCUUAACUUCACCACUACCAUCCAUCCCCGUCGGUCCGUCACCACCACCAUUCCCCUCUCCUCUCUUGUCUCUUCCCUCUGUGAAACUACCACCAUCUUUGUCAUCUCCGAUAGCCGCUGUAAACAACCCAGCCCUGAAGUACCGAAAUUGUAAAAUCGGUUAUUCUUAGCGGUGAUUUAAAGUCGACGCUAUCGAUUUCGCUUGAGGAUACGGUUUUGUUGAUUCUCAUUUGGGGCUUGCAUUUUGGGGGUUUCGGGAUUCGAACGUCACCUGUGGGUUGGGGUUCAAAAAGAACUGAAGGUUAUUCCAUUGUGAUUUUGUAUGAACAGAAUGUAAGAAAAAUAUUAACUUCCAGUAUGCUUAAAUGCCAUCUCCAUGACCUCUUUCAUUCAACUACACUUCAAAUUGUCAUGGAGUAGGUAUAGUUUGCAUCACCUCAGGUACAUAUUAGACGUCUUUCUCCAAUGCUAGACUUUUCAUAGCUUAUGUUAGGAGAGGGCAACCGUUGGACUACAAAGGCUGUCUAGAAUGCCGAAGAAAAGUUUAUGAAUAAAAAUCACAAGUAUGCUGGAGGGCUUAACUUAUUACAGCCACUUCCCAUCCAUCUUCCCAACAUAUCCUCUCUAUGGCCCUUAUUGACGGCCAAACUCUGUGGCGGCAGGAAUGUUAGCAAAAAAACACUGCCGUUCUCGCCCUGGCCGGCUUCUCAGCAACAGCCGCAAUGCCAAGUCGGGUCCGGUUUGCGAGCCGUUUUACUUCGAAAACUUAGCAGCAAACGAGAAUCCACGGGUACUGACUACGGACGUUUUCUAGCCAUAUCAGCUCAAACUCCAAUUGAGCCGAUUAAGAAACGAGGAUGUUCAACGACACUCAGUUUGAUAUUGGAAGCCAUGGGAGCUGAAUUUAUCUAGAAUAUUCUGAUAGACAAAAGACAACGCAUAAGGUUACUUCAUUGAAGAUGAGACAGAAGUCAUGGACAGCACAGGUUUUCUCUUCUUUGACUACAUCGCUUCGAUUCGAAGGGGCGUUGAAUGUCGAUGUGAAUGAGUUUCAUACCAAUUUUUGAGAGAGGAUUUGGCUACUCUUGAGAAGGAUUAUGAAUAGUUUGGGCUUGAGUCUGCUGAUAACGAGGAAGGCCAUGGUGAAGAGUAUUAGUUAAUUAGUAUUAAGUCUGCUUUUUGUGUUUCCUAAGUUUAAAAACUAAUGUGUUUAAAACAAGGUAUAUGUAUAACCAGGUAGGUACUGCCCUUAUUAUGAAGAAAUUUCAUACGGAAUAA
Molecule: long non-coding RNA, 1468 nt
Organism: Helianthus annuus (common sunflower)
Lineage: Eukaryota; Viridiplantae; Streptophyta; Magnoliopsida; Asterales; Asteraceae
Exons: 7
Source: RefSeq, a predicted model, not a curated record